RNAcentral lists this ribosomal RNA (1414 nucleotides) under uncultured prokaryote. RNAcentral describes it as "partial 16S ribosomal RNA". It matches the Rfam family "Bacterial small subunit ribosomal RNA", at positions 29 to 1401 of the family's 1533-position model. The record is from RNAcentral.
ACGAACGCUGGCGGCAUGGUUUAGGCAUGCAAGUCGAACGCGAAGCCCCGCACCUAAAUUACACUCUAUGGAUGUUAUUUAAUUAUCCUAGGUACAGUGGUGUGAUUUAGGUGCGGGGUGGAAAGUGGCGAAAGGGUGAGUAACGCGUGAGUAACCUGCCCUCAAGUUUGGGAUAAUUCUUCGAAAGGGGGACUAAUACCGGAUGUGUCCAGCUAUUUGCAUAUAUAGUUGGGUAAAGAUUUAUUGCUUGAGGAUGGGCUCGCGUCCCAUUAGCUUGUUGGUAGGGUAACGGCCUACCGAGGCUAUGACGGGUAGGUGGUCUGAGAGGAUGGUCACCCACACUGGGACUGAGACACUGCCCAGACUCCUACGGGAGGCUGCAGUCGAGAAUCUUCCGCAAUGGGCGCAAGCCUGACGGAGCAAUGCCGCGUGCAGGAUGAAGGCCCUUGGGUCGUAAACUGCUGUCACUGGGGAUGAACAAAUGACAGUACCCGGAGAGGAAGCCACGGCUAACUACGUGCCAGCAGCCGCGGUAAUACGUAGGUGGCGAGCGUUGUUCGGAUUUAUUGGGCGUAAAGGGUUCGUAGGGGGUUUGCUAAGUUUGGUGUGAAAUUUCGGGGCUUAACCCCGAAGCUGCACUGAAGACUGGCAGACUAGAGCAUCGUAGAGGAGAGUGGAAUUCCUGGAGUAGCGGUGGAAUGCGUAGAUAUCAGGAAGAACACCGAGAGCGAAGGCAGCUCUCUGGGCGAUAGCUGACCCUGAGGGACGAAAGCGUGGGUAGCGAACAGGAUUAGAUACCCUGGUAGUCCACGCCGUAAACGUUGUGCACUUGGUCUUUGUGGCUUCAACCCCAUGAGGAUCGUAGCUAACGCGUUAAGUGCACCGCCUGGGGACUACGGCCGCAAGGCUAAAACUCAAAGGAAUUGACGGGGACCCGCACAAGCGGUGGAGCAUGUGGCUUAAUUCGAGGCAACGCGAAGAACCUUACCUGGGCUUGACAUAUAUUUGCAAUCUGGUGAAAGUCAGAGUUCCUUUUGGACGGAUAUACAGGUGCUGCAUGGCUGUCGUCAGCUCGUGUCGUGAGAUGUUCGGUUAAGUCCGGCAACGAGCGCAACCCGUGUUGUUAGUUACCAUCAGGUAAUGCUGGGGACUCUAACAAGACUGCCCGUGUUAAGCGGGAGGAAGGCGCGGACGACGUCAAGUCAGUAUGGCCCUUAUGCCCAGGGCUGCACACGUGCUACAAUGGUCGGUACAAUGGGCAGCGAAACUGCGAAGUGGAGCAAAUCCUUAAAACCGGCCUCAGUUCGGAUUGUAGUCUGCAACUCGACUACAUGAAGUUGGAAUCGCUAGUAAAGGCGUAUCAGCAACGGCGCCUUGAAUACGUUCCCGGGUCUUGUACUCACCGCCCGUCAAG